Non-coding RNA from Physcomitrium patens, 1134 nucleotides. Lineage: Eukaryota; Viridiplantae; Streptophyta; Bryopsida; Funariales; Funariaceae. The record is from RefSeq and is a predicted model, not a curated record.
GUUCGCCACAACGGAAGCGUUGAUUCUGUUAUGGAAACUGUACAGUAGGAAUCAUCCCUGUCUUCGCUGUUCUGCACAGAACUGUCGUUACUCCACCACAGCAGGCUCGAACCUCGUGAGCCUCUCGUUGGGGUGUCACCAGGAAGACAGUUCCAUGCAGAACGGUUCUGUGUGGGUGCGGCUCGCUUUUAGAAGGCCGAAUGGGCAGCAAGCAUUCUCAGGCUUGGGGCAUUCCUCUGCCAAUCUACGCUCUAGUCAUGCACCCACCGCCAUAACUAAACACAAACAAUCUAUAAACUUAUCCGCAUCAAUUAUUCUAGUGUCAUUUUUGAUGUCGAUGAUGUUUCGCGCUUCUGAAUCCGCUGUGAAAUACUUACGAUUUGAGUAUAAUCGUUGAGGAGUUAUCAUCUUUCCCCUGUUGAGCAUAACCGUUAAGGGGUACACCUGCAGUUUCAAGGGUUGUUUCUACCACAGGCGUUGAAACGGAGAGGAAAAGAGAGGUGAUUGCCACUGGAGAGAGAGUUUCUGCUGGUGUCACUGCGCCUUCUAUCAUCUUCUGCUGUACAAACGGAUGGCGCUGCUUCUGCUUUCUUGAAAGAGCAAGAGAUUGUUAUGUUUGCAGAGAUAGAGGAUAUUGGGAAGAGUUUAGAAUUAUUAUUGGCAGUCCAGACCAAAUUAGAGGAAAGUAUCACACCUCCUUCAAGACAAAAGCAGGAAUGCUCAGAAAAGGAUAAUUUCUACGGGAACUGUGAUCCUGUUAUCCGCAAUCUCCGAGAAGAGCUUCCAGUCUAAUUUUACAAAGACCUGAACUAUGACAUCUACAACUACAGAGAGGAUAUCACAUUUACUGAUCCCACUGAACAUAUUUUCGGGAAUAAAGAACUACAAGACGUUGCUCUGGGUACUUCGGUUCCAUGGCCGCAUCUUUUUCAAAGUCUUGUGGGUUGAAGAAGUUCGAGUGUGGCAACCCUCUAGCAAGGUUAUCAUGGUUCGAUGGAGAGUUCGUGGCGUUCCACGAGUUCCCUGAGAGUCUCAAGGUCAGUUCGAGGGCAUUUCUGAGUACAUGUUAGACAAGGAUGAGAAAAUCUACUCUCACAAAGUCAGUAAUAUUAUAUUGAACUCGUGCCCAAACUA